This is a non-coding RNA of Ictidomys tridecemlineatus (thirteen-lined ground squirrel), 72 nucleotides long. The record is from Rfam. Lineage: Eukaryota; Metazoa; Chordata; Mammalia; Rodentia; Sciuridae.
GGGGUUGUGGCUCAGUGGUAAAGUGCUUGCCUAGCAUGCAUGAGGUACUGGGUUCGAUUCUCAGCAUCACAU